GGUCGUUGGAGCAGGUCAGGCCCUCCUGGGCGGGACUCAUCCCUGAAAUUAAUACAAGUCAGAGCAUCUGUCUGUCCCUGCCAAAGGAGACUGCAGCUAGAAAGAGGAUCUGGACGGACGGCCAUUGGAGACCCAGAAGCAGCGUCUGUCUUCUGGAGAUGGUGUUAGCUCUCACUCACAAUGGUUCCAGAAAAGCCAGGAGCCAAUUGGAGAGUUUGCUCUGAAGGAGCCCUAAUGGCUUCAAGAUCUUUCUGUUCGGAUCUCCAGAUUUCUCCAGAAGUGCCCAGCAGGCCUUGCCCUUUCUCCGGGCCCCACGUCGGUAAAGAGGCUGGUGGGAACAGCUUGCCAGUGUGGAAGGGGCUUCCACAGAACCAUGGCUCUGCACCUUUGGAAUUUUCUUGUUCCCCCCAGGGCAGGUGGCUGGCCUGGCUUAUUUUUUCGGAUGGAAAUAAUAAAGACUCCUUGGCUGAUCUG
This is a long non-coding RNA of Mus musculus (house mouse), 474 nucleotides long. RefSeq annotates it as predicted gene, 35889. The record is from RefSeq and is a predicted model, not a curated record. The transcript is spliced from 3 exons. Lineage: Eukaryota; Metazoa; Chordata; Mammalia; Rodentia; Muridae.